UGUUGUAGAAUCACUGGUGAAUAAGGGGUGGGCAAGUUCUGGUGUCAGCCGCCGCGGUAAAACCAGCACCUCGAGUGGUCAGGAGGUUUAUUGGGCCUAAAGCAUCCGUAGCCGGUUGCAUAAGUUUUCGGUUAAAUCUAUGCGCUUAACGUAUAGGCCGCCGAAAAUACUGUGCAGCUAGGGAGUGGGAGAGCUACACGGUACUCGAUAGGAAGGGGUAAAAUCCUUUGAUCUAUUGAUGACCACCUGUGGCGAAGGCGGUGUACCAGAACACGUUCGACGGUGAGGGAUGAAAGCUGGGGGAGCAAACCGGAUUAGAUACCCGGGUAGUCCCAGCUGUAAACGAUGCAGACUCGGUGAUGCAUUGGCUUGUGGCCAAUGCAGUGCCGCAGGGAAGCCGUUAAGUCUGCCGCCUGGGAAGUACGUACGCAAGUAUGAAACUUAAAGGAAUUGGCGGGGGAGCACCAUAAGGGGUGAAGCCUGCGGUUCAAUUGGAGUCAACGCCAGAAAUCUUACCUGGGGAGACAGCAGAAUGAAGGUCAAGCUGAAGACUUUACCAGACACGCUGAGAGGUGGUGCAUGGCCGUCGCCAGCUCGUGCCGUGAGAUGUCCUGUUAAGUCAGGUAACGAGCGAGACCCCUGCGUCUAGUUGCUACCAUUACUCUCUGGAGCAGUGGAGCGAAUUAGACGGACCGCCACAGUUAAUGUGGAGGAAGGAAGGGGCCACGGCAGGUCAGUAUGCCCCGAAACCCUAGGGCUACACGCGGGCUGCAAUGGUAUUGACAAUGUGUUCCGAAUCCGAAAGGAGGAGGCAAUCAUCAAACAUAUCUCAGUUAUGACUGAGGGC
RNAcentral lists this ribosomal RNA (847 nucleotides) under uncultured archaeon. RNAcentral describes it as "bacterial SSU rRNA". It matches the Rfam family "Archaeal small subunit ribosomal RNA", at positions 415 to 1261 of the family's 1478-position model. The record is from RNAcentral.